GUGGGGAAUCUUAGACAAUGGGGGAAACCCUGAUCUAGCCAUGCCGCGUGAGCGAUGAAGGCCUUAGGGUUGUAAAGCUCUUUCAGCUGGGAAGAUAAUGACGGUACCAGCAGAAGAAGCCCCGGCUAACUCCGUGCCAGCAGCCGCGGUAAUACGGAGGGGGCUAGCGUUAUUCGGAAUUACUGGGCGUAAAGCGCACGUAGGCGGACCAGAAAGUUGGGGGUGAAAUCCCGGGGCUCAACCUCGGAACUGCCUUCAAAACUCCUGGUCUUGAGUUCGAGAGAGGUGAGUGGAAUUCCGAGUGUAGAGGUGAAAUUCGUAGAUAUUCGGAGGAACACCAGUGGCGAAGGCGGCUCACUGGCUCGAUACUGACGCUGAGGUGCGAAAGCGUGGGGAGCAAACAGGAUUAGAAACCCGAGUAGUCC
This 425-nucleotide ribosomal RNA is filed under the name uncultured bacterium. RNAcentral describes it as "partial 16S ribosomal RNA". It matches the Rfam family "Bacterial small subunit ribosomal RNA", at positions 354 to 796 of the family's 1533-position model. The record is from RNAcentral.